RNAcentral lists this ribosomal RNA (433 nucleotides) under uncultured bacterium. RNAcentral's name for it is "partial 16S ribosomal RNA". It matches the Rfam family "Bacterial small subunit ribosomal RNA", at positions 29 to 507 of the family's 1533-position model. The record is from RNAcentral.
AACGAACGCUGGCGGCAGGCCUAACACAUGCAAGUCGAGCGCGCCCUUCGGGGUGAGCGGCGGACGGGUGAGUAACGCGUGGGAACGUGCCCUUUUCUACGGAAUAGCUACGGGAAACUGAUAGUAAUACCGAAUACGCCCUUAGGGGGAAAGAUUUAUCGGAAAAGGAUCGGCCAGCGUGGGAUUCGGUAGUUGGUGGGGUAAUGGCCUACCAAGCCGACGAUCCAUAGCUGGGUUCAGAGGAUGAUCAGCCACACUGGGACUGAGACACGGCCCAGACUCCUACGGGAGGCAGCAGUGGGGAAUCUUAGACAAUGGGGGCAACCCUGAUGUAGCCAUGCCGCGUGAGUGAUGAAGGCCUUAGGGUUGUAAAGCUCUUUCAGCUGUGAAGAUAAUGACGGUACCAGCAGAAGAAGCCCCGGCUAACUCCGUG